CAGAGAUUUCACAUAAAAAGCCAGAUUUAUGACUUCUCUUGAAAAAUCCAAUUUUGGGGCAACAUUAAGCCUUAUAGUCUAGCAGAGCAACAGUUGGCCUUAACCAGUCAGUAGCUGUUCCUUUCAGAUAGGACCGUGGCUAUCCCCUUGCCAUUGACUGUGGUCCCACCACUCCCUAUUGCACCCCCAACUCUAAGCCCAGUAUCAAUCUUCUUUAUCUCUGAUCUCUUUCUUCCAGCAGUCUCACUCAUUCACACUGGCUGCCUGGGCAGGUGUAUAUGGAAACCAUGACCUCAAGGGCUUCUAUACCUCAAACUCAAAAUUGCUGAAAGGCACUUAAGACAUGGAAAGACUGGUGGUGAGAUAUUUAAAUAUAAAGGAAGAAAAGGAGGAAUAAGGACCUUGAAGACAAAGAGAAAAGACUCAGGGAGUCUCAUUGUGUCCCAGAGUGAGAGCUUCUCAUAGUCAUGUGAGACACUGGAACUCUUGCUAUCUGGGCUGUGACUGAAGCACAAAGGCCAAGGAUAGAAGAUGGAGGAAGUGCGGGCUUCCACCAUGUCAUAGACUCAAGGUUAUAGGUGCUAUUGAUGAGUGUUCGCUUGGGAAGUAUCUGGAUAUCAGGACCCGGAUUGCCAUGCCAAGUUCUUCUGCUCCAUCAAGUAAGAUGAUUGCUCUGGCCUGUAAAUCUCAUCUGAAAUGUUUUCCUCAAGAGGCCCACCAGAAGGAUCUCCUGGUGACACAGUUUGAGUUUCUAUUUUGUUCCUACUUUCAAGCUGUUAUUUGGAGGUUUUAUGAGCCAACUGAAAUCUUAUAAGCCAACUGAAAUCCUUCUUGGAACCAGGCAAGUGUAAACAGAUAUUUACAUAUGUGAUAUACAUAUAUACAUAUGCUUUUACAAAGCAAGUACCAAU
Molecule: long non-coding RNA, 911 nt
Filed under: Vulpes vulpes (red fox)
Lineage: Eukaryota; Metazoa; Chordata; Mammalia; Carnivora; Canidae
Description: lncRNA (ENSVVUG00000022860.1)
Source: RNAcentral